RNAcentral lists this long non-coding RNA (5496 nucleotides) under Malus domestica (apple). Its description in RNAcentral is "long non-coding RNA (MDOM_LNC017166)". The record is from RNAcentral. Lineage: Eukaryota; Viridiplantae; Streptophyta; Magnoliopsida; Rosales; Rosaceae.
GGGAGUGGAGUGGGGAGAGAGUUUUUGUUUUUUAUUUUUUAUUUUUUAAUAUUAGAUAUAUGCUAAAAUCACAUGUAGGUGAAGUUUAAAUAAAAAAUAGCAAAAUUAGUUUUGUGAAAUUACAUUAUUGCCCAUAAUUCUUUUUUGUGAUAGAAGACUAAAUAGUUUUUCACUCUUUUAGUUGACAAAGAUGAUUUUGUUAAUAUGUAGUUUAGAUUCAUGCAACCUACAAAAUAUAGAAAUAUUAUUUGAUUCAAAAUUAAUUUACUUAUAUUUUACAUAAAAAUAUAGGUGAAUUAUUUGAAGAUAAAAUAAUAAUAUAUGUGAAAUAAUUCACCUACAAAAAUAAAUUGACCUACAUAAUAAACAAUAUUAUUUUAUCCAAACUAAUUUACUUGUUAUUUUUUCAUAUAAUAAUAAAAAUAUGCUCAAUAUAUAUGAUGACACAUACAAAAUAAAUUACCUACAUAAUAAAGGAAUGUUAUUUGAUUCAAAAUUAAUUUAGUUACAAAAUAGAACAAUGUUAUUUGCUCAUUAUAAAUUUGCAUAUAGCUAAUUAAUUUUUAUAAAAAAAUUGAACAUAUUAUGUGUGUGUGCAUAUAUAUAUGUGUGUGUUUGUGCGCGCGCACGCGCAAGUGUGUAAUAUAUUUGAAUGUAUAUCUAGUAAUAUAUAUUUUUGAACGUAUAUGUAGUAAUAUAUAUAUUUUUAAACGUAUAUGUCAGGUGUAAUAAUAUGUGAAAUAAUUAUUUUUUCACUAUAAUUAGGGUGAGUAAUUACAUUUAUUGAUUUAUUUUGAAUUUGUGGUAGAAGUUUUAAAUAGUAUGUAAUAAUAAGUCAAUUAUUUUUCUAGGAAAUAAGAGUUGUAAGGGCUUAUUUCUAAAGAACUCAGCAAUUUCCUUAAUCUACUAUGGUGAGUUUUAAUUAAAGAAGAUGAAAUUUCAAGGGGUAAACUGUAAAGUCAUAUUUUUAGUAAUAAUGAUUGGUCUAAAUGCGUACAUACAAAUCUUGCAUGGGAGUUAGUUCAACUUUGCCCACGCUUGGCAUGUACUCAAGCCUUAGGAAGCUCUCCUAUAUCUACAUUUGCUCAUGUGCCCUCUGCAUUUCCAAGUGGAACGUGGUUCAAAUUUUGGCAAUGGUUGAUUUAUAAAUGUUAGUAAUAUCUUCCCUUUUCUCUUAUUAACAUCAAAUUUGUCAACAUUAUGUGUGGCAUGUACAAAUGUCACCUUCCACAUAAAGAGUUUCAUUAGGUGAUUCAAAUAAGGUGGUCUUCCUAAUUUUUUUUUUAAUCAUAUUACAAAUGGGCACUACUAUAAUGGUAUGUUUUUAUCCAAAAAUUCUGUUAUAUCACAUGAUCAGUGUUGUAAAAAAAAAUUGGUCUUAUGUCAAAGACAUUAUCUACAAGAAGUAUUUUGAAUGAGGAAGUCCUAUUUCUUGGUAGGUAUAAACAAAGAGCCUGCUCGUUCCGUCAGUGAUUUUCGUAUUAAUGUUCAAAAUCAAAAAAAAUGAACAAGGUAAUCAGAGGAAUAGCACAGGUAUGUUAAAACUUUUAACUAUGAUUUGAUAUGUUGCAAGUCCUUUUCAUAUGUUCUGCUCUCUUUUUUAUUUUUUUGUUGGCUCUUUUCAAUUAUACAUGUCCUUAUUUUUAAUAAUUAGUUAGGUGAUACGUGGUUUGAUGGAAUGGAAUAGACCAUGAAAUCCGGUCGCCCUAUCUGAACAUAAUAAGAUUGUACAAUAGACAACGGUCUAUCCGAAUUCAAACGUGAAAAUCAAGAAACAAAAAUAUAAUCUCUAUAUAUAAAGGGAGCUUAGAAUGGCCACGGUCUAUCCUGUACAACAUAAUAUCGAGUCAUACUUGAAUGGCCAUGAGAUCAGGAUCAACAAGGUCCAUGGUAACAAGUUUUUGUCAUUAGUCAGUAUUUAUGAAGAACGAAAAGGAAUUAUAUAUAUUCAUCUAGACAUACACUAUCCCAUAAUCACAUUCAUGAAACCAACAAUUACAUAAAACUCCAACAAGACAUGAAAAAUAAUGCAACAUGUGACUGUAUAUGUAUCUGAAAAACACACCCGACACUUGGUCCUCUUAUGACUCAUAAGACAGUUCAGCUUAAGUUAUCCUUGUACUCUAAACAGAAUGUUUGAGGAAUUCUUAUUGUUAAAACAAAUAUGUACGGAUUGAUUAAGGAAAUGUAAUUAUAUAGUCCAUAUACAAAUGAAUGUUUACAUUCUAAUAGUCAUGAGCAUUCCCAUUGACUUAUUCAAGUUGGGAACUCUUAUUCAUGUAGAUGCCAAAUACCCAACAAAACUAAAAUGAAGAAACAAUUUUUUUUUAAAUACAUUGAUAUUUUUUUACACUAAAAGAAAUGAGAGUUCGACAACAAAAUUUAAAAUUAAAAAAAUAUUCAUUUAAACCCAGUAAUUAGUUUUUUACGCUCAACUUUAAAAUUUUGUCGCACAAACUUUCUAUUUUGCCCUAAAAUAAAAAGAAUUACAAUUAUAAAACUAAAAACAAAAAUCAUAGCAACAAAUAAACCCAAAAUAAAUGAAAUUAACUAAAACAAAACACGAAUUACACUGCUAGUUUGGUAUUGUUGUGUUAUUUAAAAUAAAAUAAAAAAACUACUUCUGUUGUGCUGUGAGAAUAAACAGUUGUAAAAUAAAGUUGUUAAGUGUUUGGCAAACUUUUUUUUUUUUGUAAAAGUGCUUUCAACAAAAAAAAUAGUGUCUAAGUGUUUGGUAAACUUUUAUACAAAUUGUUGUGAAUAUGUUAAAUGUAGGGCUGGUUCAAAAAGGGAUCCCAAAUCUUGAAUCAAACAUUUUUGGGACGGGAAUAUGUUCUAAAUUCUCGAAAUAUUUUCGGGAUUUCGAUUCAAUAGGAAUUUGACUUCUUGUUAAUAGAAGCCCCUGAUUAAUUCAAUUCAAACCUACAGAAAUCAAACAUGCAAAUCCAGAAAUCCAAUCAACCAAAUCCACAUAAAAUUAAUCCACAAAUCCAAAUCCAGAAAUAAUCAAAGCCCUAUAUCGUAAAUCCCUAAUUCAACAUGCAUCCUAAAUAGAAAAUUAAUCCCUAAAUUGUAAAUCCUCAUUCGAACUCUAAUUCAGAGAGAGCUUCAGAGAGGAUAAAGAGGGAGAUGGGUCGAGCCUACAAAUGAGAGAGCUUCGAGGGUUUGAGAGAGAGCUUCUUACAAAAUGGGGCUCUAAGCAAUAGCUCAUUCCUCUCUCUGCUUCCCAACACGAAGACUGCUUCUCUCUUCCUCAAGAAUCAAAACCAAAACAAAAGCUUUGUGCUUGUCUCCCAACAGACAAGGAAUGUACCAUCACAUACCUUUUCCUUUUUAUUUUAUUUUUGUGCCUUUGGUAGUGGGACCGAAAGGCUCCUGCUUUUUACUUUUGUUUUUCCUUUGUUCUUUGUAGAGCUGGGAAGUGGGAACCAAAAGCAAAAUGAAGACAAGGAUUCCGGAAUUUCGGGAUUGCCGAACAAAUGAGAUCUGAAAACCAAUCCUAUACCGAAUAUUUUGGUAUUUUUCGGUACGGGAUUACUAAACUUUGGGAUAGUUUGGGUUUUGGGAUUUUUGGUUUGGGUUCAGGAUUUUUUCGAUUUGGUUUGGAAUUUUAUAGAAUUUUUUCCAACCCUAAUUAAUGACUAAAAAGGAUAUGAUAUAUAAUGGGGUUAUAAUAAUUGUCAAAGAGAAUAAUGUAGAUGCAAUGAUUGUAAUUUUGUAAAAUAUGUGGAGGUAUGUAGAUGCAAUGAUUGUAAUUUUGUAAAAUAUGUGGAGGUAUACUUGUCAUUUGAAAAUUUCAUUAAUUGGGUACUAAUUAUUAUGCUUUGAAAAAAAACUUUUUUUUAAGAAGCAUGGUAGACCUUGAUUAUGCUUUUUUACUAUCAUUGACAACAAUUUUUUAAAAAUCACUUUUUUUUUUGUUUUACCAAACACAUUUGAUAUUCCAAAUUUUUAAUAAGCUAUUUUUAUAAAAGCACCACAAUCCCAAAUUAGCCCGUAAUUAACCAUUACAUCUGUCCUAAAGGCUUAUCUUUAGCUAUGCCCCCUAAAGCUCUAUUUUGAUCUCAUUUUGUCCCAUAAAUCUCAAAAGUCAUUAUUUUACUCCCUGAAAUUCAAAAUUCAUUCCACUUUGACAUAUGUACUCUCUCUUCUCCUUAAAACCUAUAAGUCGUUUCCUGAAACAUACGUGGGAUCCAACACCCAAUAAGACUAUACCACAUAUGCAAUAAAUUUGAUUAUAAAUCUACAUUAUGCGUUAACAUUCAACAAUAAGAGAAUAUUAAGUUUUUAAAAAAAUGAAGAGAUUAAAAAAAUAAAAAAAAUAAUAAUUAGUUUUGCGCACCCAAAUCAAACUCACAUAAGAACUAACAAAUCUAAGACAAUAUGGAACAAGUUUUAAGUUUUAUAGAAACGACUUUCAAGUUUCAGGGAGAAAAUGGGAUCAAAUUGAGUUAUAUGGGGUAAAGUGGAGCGAAUUAUGAGUUUCAGAUAAUAAAAUGACGACUUUUGAGUUAUAAAGAGUAAAAUGAGAUUAAAUUGAGUUUCAAGAGGCGUAACUAAAAAUAAACCUACUUUCAAACAACACUCAUGCGACGGGUGACCAUGGGCCACCAUGGCAACAACGGGGUCCGAUUUCGGUUGUCAUUCAAAUUCAGUCGUUGUAUACUCUCUCUCCAUCAACCUUGGAGGACUUGUCAGCAAGAUCAAGUCCACUUGUACCAUUUUUUUGGAAAGUGAUUUUCACACACUUUUAAGCCUCUUACAUACAUUUAUUUAAUCAUGAUCGUUGAUUUCUUUUUAUUUAUUCAAUCUGAUAACCAUAAAUUAAAAGGAGUGUGUGAAACUCACUUUUUCUUUCUUUUUUUAUUUUUUUUCUUUUUUUGAUUUAUUGGAUUCAAAUUUAUAUGAAGAUUCAUUCUUUAGAAUUUGGGACCAAAUUUUUGAUUGGGUGAAAUCUUUCGAGGAUUUGUAUUGAGUGAAUUUGGAAAUUGCAAUUGGAUUUGGAAAUUGCAGUUCCAAUGGGCAUAGGCAGGUUGCUGCAAGCUUCCAGAUCUAUAGUUCAUCAAUGGUGCCUGAGUAUUAAGCGGUUUCAAAUAAAAAUUUUCCCUAGAAUAAAUAAGAAUUGCAUUUUAUUUUUCAUUGCUUAUGCCAUAUAUCAUCUAAUUAGCAUAUAAAGAAAUUUUGGCAGCAAAAUUUGAUUUUAAAUUUGUGUUGCAAUCUUGGGUUUAUUACAAGAACUUCUAUCGAGGCUUUUAGAGUUUUUGGGUAUGUGGACGUUAAUUUAUUUACUUUUUAUGGAAAACGAUACACACACAAUUAACUUCUCACACACCUAUGUUGAUUUAUUCUCGAUGGCUAUAAAUUAAGAGGAGUUUGAGAAACAAAAAAUUUUGUGUGACAAUGUCGCAUUUUCCAUUUGUUUAAACCAAGGAAGAAAAUAUCGGUAAUAUCGGAAAUAUCGGUAGUCCGAAAACACGGAAAUAUCGAUGGAAAUAU